ACUUUGGAAUAAUCUUCCGUGUUCUUUGAAGGGCUGCUGCACUGGAGGAUCAUCCCACGAAAAGUUGACAGAUCGAAAUCCAAUAUCCUUGGGAGUGUGUUGUGUGACAUGUUGAAAAUUCCUAAGUCAACAUUAUCAAGGUAGAAAACCUGCCAAUUGAGUGUGAUCCAGUAAAUAUAUAUUCUUAAUUUAGAUACAUGGUGAAGUAUUGAGGAGUACGAUCCUGACCUGAAGGAAAAUAUGGCAACCUUCUAAGUGUGUGAUGGCUCGGUUGUUCAGCAUGUCAGCUUUUAACUUGGUUACAGCUUUCAACAAAUCUUGUAAUACAUACUCGCACCAAUUGAAAUCAGAUAUUCUCUCAGGGUUUACUAAUGCUGCCCAAUAAUCAAUUGUAGCAGCAUCAUGCUUGCUGGUUGGUGCAAGCAAGUGACCCAUGGCAAAAAUAACUAAAGCCAUUUUAAAACUGUCUUUCUCGAUAGUUGAUGAAAAUUUUUCUGACAGUGGACGACAUAAAACUUUCUCAGCUGAUUUCAAUAUCUGAUUCCCCUUUUCAGGCAUCCCGAGCGCGGCACGUAUGAUGUUUACUGUGGUUUCUUUCGGUGGCUCCUGUUUUGCAAUGUCCAGUUGCCCACAUGGUAUACCAAAUACCUUAUGAACAUCUACAUCUGUGAACCUCAACCUUCUGAGAUUAUCAAUAAUGAUAGAUCUGCUAAUGGUGUCCACUCUAUUCAUCACCCAUUUACUGAAUUUAAGGUUGAUCCUUGGUAGUGGUCUGAUUUUGAGGAUACCUCCCCAACCCAUUUCUUGAACAAGGAAAACUUUGUACUCGUCGAACUGAGAUGUUACUGAAAGUACCUUCUGCACAGAAGUCCUCGAUGUUUGACUUGGGCCAGUAGAAUGUAUAUUGAAGAACUCAGGGUCGUCAAGAGGGUCUGGAUCUU
This 941-nucleotide long non-coding RNA is filed under the name Triticum aestivum (bread wheat). RNAcentral describes it as "long non-coding RNA (TAES_LNC011026)". The record is from RNAcentral. Lineage: Eukaryota; Viridiplantae; Streptophyta; Magnoliopsida; Poales; Poaceae.